UACGGAGGGUGCAAGCGUUGUCCGGAUUUAUUGGGUUUAAAGGGUGCGUAGGCGGCCCUGUAAGUCAGUGGUGAAAUACUGCAGCUUAACUGUAGCAUUGCCAUUGAUACUGCAGGGCUUGAGUACAGAUGAGGUAGGCGGAAUUGAUGGUGUAGCGGUGAAAUGCAUAGAUACCAUCAAGAACACCGAUUGCGAAGGCAGCUUACUAAGCUGUAACUGACGCUGAGGCACGAAAGCGUGGGGGAGCAAACAGG
RNAcentral lists this ribosomal RNA (254 nucleotides) under uncultured bacterium. RNAcentral describes it as "partial 16S ribosomal RNA". It matches the Rfam family "Bacterial small subunit ribosomal RNA", at positions 524 to 776 of the family's 1533-position model. The record is from RNAcentral.